RNAcentral lists this unclassified non-coding RNA (460 nucleotides) under Hevea brasiliensis (rubber tree). Lineage: Eukaryota; Viridiplantae; Streptophyta; Magnoliopsida; Malpighiales; Euphorbiaceae. The record is from RNAcentral.
UUUCCUUUUUUUUUUUUUCUAAAGAUAGAAGUGCAUUAAAAGCCUAACCAGGCAACGAGGAAGAUAUUUGGGUUACAAAGCAAAAGACGAGUUAUGCAAAGAAUUAACCACCAAUGAAUGCGCCACAUUGUUUGCUUGUCUUGGGACGAAAGAGACGGCCUCAUCUAGGUUCUGAGCAAGGAGUUUUAUAUCUGCCACAAUACCCGCAAUUGAGGGGAUUUCAGAUCAUUAAUAACCAAAAGAGAUUCCCCUUCAAUGACGACCUUCCUCAGGUUUCUAGAUAUCGCAAAAGACACAGCUUCCCUGCAUGCCAGACCUUUGAACACAUGGGGAUCAGCACAAUUCCUAUAAACUUUCCCUUGCCAACCGAGAUCAAAACCCUCAUUAUCUCUUGCCAUGAGAGCUAAGGCUCCACGGCUCCUGGGAUUUAGAAACAGCAGCAUCGAAAUUUAUCUUCGUG